CCCUUAGAUGUUCUGGGCCGCACGCGCGCUACACUGACGAAUGCAACGAGCUUAUAACCUUGGCCUAAAGGUCUGGGUAAUCUCCAAAUUUCGUCGUGAUGGGGAUAGAUUAUUGCAAUUAUUAAUCUUCAACGAGGAAUGCCUAGUAAGCGCAAGUCAUCAGCUUGCGUUGAUUACGUCCCUGCCCUUUGUACACACCGCCCGUCGCUCCUACCGAUUGAAUGGUCCGGUGAAGCGUUCGGACCGUGGCCUUUGGACGGUUCGCCGUCUGUUGGCUGCGGGAAGUUCGUUAAACCUUAUCAUUUAGAGGAAGGAGAAGUCGUAACA
This 327-nucleotide ribosomal RNA is filed under the name uncultured eukaryote. Its description in RNAcentral is "partial 18S ribosomal RNA". It matches the Rfam family "Eukaryotic small subunit ribosomal RNA", at positions 1470 to 1796 of the family's 1831-position model. The record is from RNAcentral.